This 297-nucleotide long non-coding RNA is filed under the name Homo sapiens (human). RNAcentral describes it as "non-protein coding lnc-MADCAM1-2:1". The record is from RNAcentral. Lineage: Eukaryota; Metazoa; Chordata; Mammalia; Primates; Hominidae.
AAGGUUCCCGGUGCGUUUGGAAGGCAGAGGCUCCUGGGCUUGCAGGUUUGGGAAAAUUAUCCAGAACUUGGAAAGGGGUAAAAACAUCACUGCCUGCUCUUUGGAUCCUGGACCCUCGGCACGGUGGGCCUCAGAGCUGAUCAUUCCCUGGGGUGGGGCCGUCCUGGGCACUGCUGGGUGCUGAGCAGUGUCCCUGGCCUCCGCCCACUCCACACCAGGAGCUCCCCUAGUCGUGACAACCACAGAAGCCCCAGACGUUGCCCCGUGUCCCCGAGGGGCCGAAUCACCCAGAGGAUC